Molecule: small nuclear RNA, 18 nt
Filed under: Arabidopsis thaliana (thale cress)
Lineage: Eukaryota; Viridiplantae; Streptophyta; Magnoliopsida; Brassicales; Brassicaceae
Description: snRNA_18856
Source: RNAcentral
CCCGGGAAGUCCUCGUGU